This 301-nucleotide ribosomal RNA is filed under the name uncultured bacterium. Its description in RNAcentral is "partial 16S ribosomal RNA". It matches the Rfam family "Bacterial small subunit ribosomal RNA", at positions 509 to 809 of the family's 1533-position model. The record is from RNAcentral.
CAGCCGCCGCGGUAAUACGAAGGGGGCUAGCGUUGUUCGGAUUUACUGGGCGUAAAGCGCACGUAGGCGGACUUUUAAGUCAGGGGUGAAAUCCCGGGGCUCAACCCCGGAACUGCCUUUGAUACUGGAAGUCUUGAGUAUGGUAGAGGUGAGUGGAAUUCCGAGUGUAGAGGUGAAAUUCGUAGAUAUUCGGAGGAACACCAGUGGCGAAGGCGGCUCACUGGACCAUUACUGACGCUGAGGUGCGAAAGCGUGGGGAGCAAACAGGAUUAGAUACCCCUGUAGUCCCUGUCUCUUAUAA